Arachis ipaensis is the source of this 134-nucleotide non-coding RNA. The record is from RefSeq and is a predicted model, not a curated record. Lineage: Eukaryota; Viridiplantae; Streptophyta; Magnoliopsida; Fabales; Fabaceae.
AUGGUCAGAUUUUAUCUCAUACACAUGAAGGUGUGAGUUUUUUAUGUGAGAAUCCAUGUGUUAUUGUUGUUCCUCUUUCAAUAACAUAUGAAGGACUUAAGAGUAUACUUUCUCAAAGUGUAGAUCAUCAAGUG